GAUGAACGCUGGCGGCGUGCCUAAUACAUGCAAGUCGAGCGAACAGAUGAGAAGCUUGCUUCUCUGAUGUUAGCGGCGGACGGGUGAGUAACACGUGGGUAACCUACCUAUAAGACUGGGAUAACUCAGGGAAACCGGGGCUAAUACCGGAUAAUAUUUUGAACCGCAUGGUUCAAUAGUGACAGUCGGUUUCGGCUGUAACGUAUAGAUGGACCCGCGCCGUAUUAGCUAGUUGGUAAGGUAACGGCUUACCAAGGCGACGAUACGUAGCCGACCUGAGAGGGUGAUCGGCCACACUGGAACUGAGACACGGUCCAGACUCCUACGGGAGGCAGCAGUAGGGAAUCUUCCGCAAUGGGCGAAAGCCUGACGGAGCAACGCCGCGUGAGUGAUGAAGGUCUUCGGAUCGUAAAACUCUGUUGUUAGGGAAGAACAAAUUUGUUAGUAACUGAACAAGUCUUGACGGUACCUAGCCAGAAAGCCACGGCUAACUACGUGCCAGCCGCCGCAGUAA
Molecule: ribosomal RNA, 514 nt
Filed under: uncultured bacterium
Lineage: Bacteria
Description: partial 16S ribosomal RNA
Rfam family: Bacterial small subunit ribosomal RNA
Source: RNAcentral